RNAcentral lists this ribosomal RNA (51 nucleotides) under Eulophia graminea. Its description in RNAcentral is "partial 26S ribosomal RNA". The record is from RNAcentral. Lineage: Eukaryota; Viridiplantae; Streptophyta; Magnoliopsida; Asparagales; Orchidaceae.
UGCGACCCCAGGAUGGGCGAGACCACCCGCCGAGUUUAAGCAUAUCAAUAA